CAAUAGCGUAUAUUAAAGUUGUUGCGGUUAAAAAGCUCGUAGUUGGAUUUCUGCCGAGGACGACCGGUCUGCCCACUGGGUGUGUAUCUGGCUCGGCCUGGGCAUCUUCUUGGAGAACGUAUCUGCACUUGACUGUGUGGUGCGGUAUCCAGGACUUUUACUUUGAGGAAAUUAGAGUGUUUCAAGCAGGCACACGCCUUGAAUACAUUAGCAUGGAAUAAUAAGAUAGGACCUCGGUUCUAUUUUGUUGGUUUCUAGAACUGUGGUAAUGAUUAAUAGGGAUAGUUGGGGGCAUUCGUAUUUAACUGUCAGAGGUGAAAUUCUUGGAUUCGUUAAAGACGGACUACUGCGAAAGCAUUUGCCAAGGAUGUUUUCAUUGA
This 380-nucleotide ribosomal RNA is filed under the name uncultured eukaryote. Its description in RNAcentral is "partial 18S ribosomal RNA". It matches the Rfam family "Eukaryotic small subunit ribosomal RNA", at positions 592 to 976 of the family's 1831-position model. The record is from RNAcentral.